RNAcentral lists this ribosomal RNA (328 nucleotides) under uncultured crenarchaeote. Its description in RNAcentral is "bacterial SSU rRNA". It matches the Rfam family "Archaeal small subunit ribosomal RNA", at positions 268 to 599 of the family's 1478-position model. The record is from RNAcentral. Lineage: Archaea; Thermoproteati; Thermoproteota.
GCGGGCCGUGAGAGCGGGAGCCCGGAGAUGGGCACUGAGACAAGGGCCCAGGCCCUACGGGGCGCAGCAGUCGCGAAAACUCCGCAAUGCGCGAAAGCGUGACGGGGCUACCCCGAGUGCCGUCCGCUGAGGAUGGCUUUUCCCAGGUGUAAUGAGCCGGGGGAAUAAGGAGAGGGCAAGUCUGGUGUCAGCCGCCGCGGUAAUACCAGCUCUCCGAGUGGUAGGGACGAUUAUUGGGCUUAAAGCGUCCGUAGCCGGCUUAGCAAGUCUCCUGUUAAAUUCAGCGACCUAAUCGUUGAGCCGCGGGAGAUACUACUAGGCUAGGAGG